AUGGCACAGAUUCUGCUGGAGGAUGUGUACAGACAAAUCCAUGCUUCUGUGCAAAAAGGACCUUCGUCUCCGUUGAAUUUGCUUCCUACAUUCUGUGCCAUCAAACGAGAGCCACACCCCUAUUUCAUCUCCCAACUGCUUCCCGACGGUGGAGGCACUCCAGCUCCGGCGUCACAGCGGCAUGAUCUCGGCGGUGACCAUGGGUGGCGACUGCGACGACCCGUCGACCCCGUCCCUAGGGUUCUUGGUCUUGGCCUUGAUAAUUUCUAG
This 270-nucleotide ribosomal RNA is filed under the name Triticum aestivum (bread wheat). RNAcentral describes it as "partial small subunit ribosomal RNA". Lineage: Eukaryota; Viridiplantae; Streptophyta; Magnoliopsida; Poales; Poaceae. The record is from RNAcentral.